GCCGCUGUAGCUCAGCGGUAGAGCGCACCCUUGGUAAGGGUGAGGUCGCGGGUUCAAGUCCCGCCAGCGGCU
RNAcentral lists this transfer RNA (72 nucleotides) under Planctomycetota bacterium. RNAcentral's name for it is "Planctomycetes bacterium tRNA-Thr". It matches the Rfam family "tRNA". Rfam says of the family: Transfer RNA (tRNA) molecules are approximately 80 nucleotides in length. Their secondary structure includes four short double-helical elements and three loops (D, anti-codon, and T loops). Further hydrogen bonds mediate the characteristic L-shaped molecular structure. tRNAs have two regions of fundamental functional importance: the anti-codon, which is responsible for specific mRNA codon recognition, and the 3' end, to which the tRNAs corresponding amino acid is attached (by aminoacyl-tRNA synthetases). tRNAs cope with the degeneracy of the genetic code in two manners: having more than one tRNA (with a specific anti-codon) for a particular amino acid; and 'wobble' base-pairing, i.e. permitting non-standard base-pairing at the 3rd anti-codon position. Lineage: Bacteria; Pseudomonadati; Planctomycetota. The record is from RNAcentral.